This is a small nucleolar RNA of Gossypium raimondii (Peruvian cotton), 106 nucleotides long. It matches the Rfam family "Plant small nucleolar RNA R71". Rfam says of the family: R71 is a member of the C/D box family of snoRNAs containing the C (UGAUGA) and D (CUGA) box motifs. Lineage: Eukaryota; Viridiplantae; Streptophyta; Magnoliopsida; Malvales; Malvaceae. The record is from Rfam.
AGUCCGUGGUAUGGGCAUUUUUUAAUAACCAUUUUAAUGUGCUCUCAAGCUUCAUGGAAACUUUCACCUUCUAAUUGCUUAAACAUAGAAACCUCUCUCCUUAGCU